RNAcentral lists this ribosomal RNA (500 nucleotides) under Klebsiella pneumoniae. RNAcentral describes it as "partial 23S ribosomal RNA". It matches the Rfam family "Bacterial large subunit ribosomal RNA", at positions 419 to 923 of the family's 2925-position model. The record is from RNAcentral. Lineage: Bacteria; Pseudomonadati; Pseudomonadota; Gammaproteobacteria; Enterobacterales; Enterobacteriaceae.
GGGACACGUGGUAUCCUGUCUGAAUAUGGGGGGACCAUCCUCCAAGGCUAAAUACUCCUGACUGACCGAUAGUGAACCAGUACCGUGAGGGAAAGGCGAAAAGAACCCCGGCGAGGGGAGUGAAAAAGAACCUGAAACCGUGUACGUACAAGCAGUGGGAGCACCUUCGGGUGUGACUGCGUACCUUUUGUAUAAUGGGUCAGCGACUUAUAUUCUGUAGCAAGGUUAACCGUAUAGGGGAGCCGCAGGGAAACCGAGUCUUAACUGGGCGUUAAGUUGCAGGGUAUAGACCCGAAACCCGGUGAUCUAGCCAUGGGCAGGUUGAAGGUUGGGUAACACUAACUGGAGGACCGAACCGACUAAUGUUGAAAAAUUAGCGGAUGACUUGUGGCUGGGGGUGAAAGGCCAAUCAAACCGGGAGAUAGCUGGUUCUCCCCGAAAGCUAUUUAGGUAGCGCCUCGUGAAUUCAUCUUCGGGGGUAGAGCACUGUUUCGGCUAGG